UCAUUUAAAGAAAGCGUAAUAGCUCACUGGUCGAGUCGGCCUGCGCGGAAGAUGUAACGGGGCUAAACCAUGCACCGAAGCUGCGGCAGCGACGCUUAUGCGUUGUUGGGUAGGGGAGCGUUCUGUAAGCCUGCGAAGGUGUGCUGUGAGGCAUGCUGGAGGUAUCAGAAGUGCGAAUGCUGACAUAAGUAACGAUAAAGCGGGUGAAAAGCCCGCUCGCCGGAAGACCAAGGGUUCCUGUCCAACGUUAAUCGGGGCAGGGUGAGUCGACCCCUAAGGCGAGGCCGAAAGGCGUAGUCGAUGGGAAACAGGUUAAUAUUCCUGUACUUGGUGUUACUGCGAAGGGGGGACGGAGAAGGCUAUGUUGGCCGGGCGACGGUUGUCCCGGUUUAAGCGUGUAGGCUGGUUUUCCAGGCAAAUCCGGAAAAUCAAGGCUGAGGCGUGAUGACGAGGCACUACGGUGCUGAAGCAACAAAUGCCAUGCUUCCAGGAAAAGCCUCUAAGCAUCAGGUAACAUCAAAUCGUACCCCAAACCGACACAGGUGGUCAGGUAGAGAAUACCAAGGCGCUUGAGAGAACUCGGGUGAAGGAACUAGGCAAAAUGGUGCCGUAACUUCGGGAGAAGGCACGCUGAUAUGUAGGUGAAGCGACUUGCUCGUGGAGCUGAAAUCAGUCGAAGAUACCAGCUGGCUGCAACUGUUUAUUAAAAACACAGCACUGUGCAAACACGAAAGUGGACGUAUACGGUGUGACGCCUGCCCGGUGCCGGAAGGUUAAUUGAUGGGGUCAGCGCAAGCGAAGCUCUUGAUCGAAGCCCCGGUAAACGGCGGCCGUAACUAUAACGGUCCUAAGGUAGCGAAAUUCCUUGUCGGGUAAGUUCCGACCUGCACGAAUGGCGUAAUGAUGGCCAGGCUGUCUCCACCCGAGACUCAGUGAAAUUGAACUCGCUGUGAAGAUGCAGUGUACCCGCGGCAAGACGGAAAGACCCCGUGAACCUUUACUAUAGCUUGACACUGAACAUUGAGCCUUGAUGUGUAGGAUAGGUGGGAGGCUUUGAAGUGUGGACGCCAGUCUGCAUGGAGCCGACCUUGAAAUACCACCCUUUAAUGUUUGAUGUUCUAACGUUGACCCGUAAUCCGGGUUGCGGACAGUGUCUGGUGGGUAGUUUGACUGGGGCGGUCUCCUCCUAAAGAGUAACGGAGGAGCACGAAGGUUGGCUAAUCCUGGUCGGACAUCAGGAGGUUAGUGCAAUGGCAUAAGCCAGCUUGACUGCGAGCGUGACGGCGCGAGCAGGUGCGAAAGCAGGUCAUAGUGAUCCGGUGGUUCUGAAUGGAAGGGCCAUCGCUCAACGGAUAAAAGGUACUCCGGGGAUAACAGGCUGAUACCGCCCAAGAGUUCAUAUCGACGGCGGUGUUUGGCACCUCGAUGUCGGCUCAUCACAUCCUGGGGCUGAAGUAGGUCCCAAGGGUAUGGCUGUUCGCCAUUUAAAGUGGUACGCGAGCUGGGUUUAGAACGUCGUGAGACAGUUCGGUCCCUAUCUGCCGUGGGCGCUGGAGAACUGAGGGGGGCUGCUCCUAGUACGAGAGGACCGGAGUGGACGCAUCACUGGUGUUCGGGUUGUCAUGCCAAUGGCACUGCCCGGUAGCUAAAUGCGGAAGAGAUAAG
Molecule: ribosomal RNA, 1665 nt
Filed under: Escherichia coli
Lineage: Bacteria; Pseudomonadati; Pseudomonadota; Gammaproteobacteria; Enterobacterales; Enterobacteriaceae
Description: partial 23S ribosomal RNA
Rfam family: Bacterial large subunit ribosomal RNA
Source: RNAcentral